RNAcentral lists this ribosomal RNA (177 nucleotides) under Candidatus Borkfalkia avicola. Its description in RNAcentral is "partial 23S ribosomal RNA". It matches the Rfam family "Bacterial large subunit ribosomal RNA", at positions 2749 to 2925 of the family's 2925-position model. The record is from RNAcentral. Lineage: Bacteria; Bacillati; Bacillota; Clostridia; Christensenellales; Christensenellaceae.
CGAAGUGCGGAUGAGAUAAACGCUGAAAGCAUCUAAGCGUGAAACUCACCUCAAGAUAAGAUAUCCCAUAUCGUAAGGUAGUAAGACCCCUUGAAGACGACAAGGUUGAUAGGUCGGAGGUGGAAGCGCAGUAAUGCGUGCAGCUGACCGAUACUAAUAGGUCGAGGGCUUGAUCUC